GACCAACGCCUGCCCAGCGCCUCAUACAUGCAUGUAUAAUUCUGAUGGAGGAGCUUUCUUUUCUGGAUGAGUUCCUAAUUGGUGUGUUCCUUUUCCGUAACCAUC
Molecule: ribosomal RNA, 105 nt
Filed under: uncultured Actinomycetaceae bacterium
Lineage: Bacteria; Bacillati; Actinomycetota; Actinomycetes; Actinomycetales; Actinomycetaceae
Description: partial 16S ribosomal RNA
Source: RNAcentral